RNAcentral lists this ribosomal RNA (301 nucleotides) under uncultured bacterium. Its description in RNAcentral is "partial 16S ribosomal RNA". It matches the Rfam family "Bacterial small subunit ribosomal RNA", at positions 509 to 809 of the family's 1533-position model. The record is from RNAcentral.
CAGCCGCCACGGGAAUACGUAGGGUCCGAGCGUUGUCCGGAAUUAUUGGGCGUAAAGGGCUCGUAGGCGGUUUGUCGCGUCGGGAGUGAAAACCCAGGGCUUAACUUUGGGCUUGCUUUCGAUACGGGCAGACUUGAGGCAUUGAGGGGAGAACGGAAUUCCUGGUGUAGCGGUGAAAUGCGCAGAUAUCAGGAGGAACACCGGUGGCGAAGGCGGUUCUCUGGCAAUGUUCUGACGCUGAGGAGCGAAAGUGUGGGGAGCGAACAGGAUUAGAUACCCCUAGUCCCUGUCUCUUAUACAC